UACGGAAGGGGCAAGCGUUGUUCGGAAUCAUUGGGCGUAAAGGGCGCGUAGGCGGUUCUGUAUGUCUACCGUGAAAGCGUACGGCUCAACCGUAUUUUGUCGGUGGAAACUGCAGGACUUGAGGCUGGGAGGGGCUGGUGGAAUUCCCUGUGUAGCGGUGAAAUGCGUAGAGAUGGGGGAGAACACUCGUGGCGAAGGCGGCCAGCUAGACCAGUUCUGACACUGAGGCGCGAAAGCGUGGGGAGCAAACAGG
This 253-nucleotide ribosomal RNA is filed under the name uncultured bacterium. RNAcentral describes it as "partial 16S ribosomal RNA". It matches the Rfam family "Bacterial small subunit ribosomal RNA", at positions 524 to 776 of the family's 1533-position model. The record is from RNAcentral.